UCUAGCUUUCAAAUUGAAGCAUUAAAACCAGAAAAUUUCUCACAUUGAAUAAGGUUAAUUUGAUGAGGUGAUUUUAUUUUUUCAGCUGCUAAUCAAAAUGAUCUAGAUAUAACCCUAGUACCACCUGAAAGCUCUUAAUGGCCUAAAAUGCUCUACCAUUUGAGUGUCCAAAAGCUGCCUGUCAUUUCCAAAGUAACUGCUAGGGCUGUCGACAGGUCCGGGUCAGGUUGGUUGGGUCCAUUAGUAUCUAUAUCCAGGCUAACCAGGUUCGGGUCUUGCCGAGUAUGGGUCUAGUUCUUGAAGACUCAGACCCGGAUCCGAUCAGGUUUCAACUUGCAUAAGGACAAAUAAGAGAAUUUAAAUUAUUGGGCCCACUGGAUGGAUGGAUUAGAUGAUAGAUCGCACACAUGUGCUACUUUGACAUGUGCAUGGUGCAUAAGCAGGCUCAUGUAUGUGAUGUGGCUUAGGAAACCUCAUUUUGUUGCUAAAAUCAUCACUAUAUAUUGAACACACACACACACACACACAUUGUCCUAUUUAAACUAACUGGACCCUACCCGACUUUAAUUGGGCCCAUCACGUGGACCUGACCUGAUUAGGCCAGGUUUUAAAUGGGUCCAAAAGGUGAGACCCAAUUUCUUUAUGGGUCCAAAAAAAGGGAUCCGGACCUGUUAAAAUCGGGUCAGGUAGCUGGUCCACGUACUCAUUGACAGCUGUAGUAACUGCCUUGUUGUUUGUGUUCUUUCUCUCAUCUCUUUCCUAGAAAGUUUGCUAGCCCCGCAGGUGCCCUCUCGAAACAAACCUGAAACCAGGACAUGCGCUAACCUGGCAUGUGUGUAGGACAUUAGACCCAUGUAUAUCAGGUGGGAGCCGUGGGCUGUGUUUGGAUGCAUGAAUGAAUUGAAUCGGGAAAAUUUAAUUUAGUCUCAAGGAAAUUGCCAAAGUUUACAAAGUUCCGUAGUAUUCGCACUCAUAUUGCAGUUACAUUCUUUUCAAGUCCAAACUGGAAGUUGAAUAUAAAAAAAAAAUAAUUUGAAGUUCAAAUGUGCAUUUGGUUUAUUUCCAUUUUGUUAGAAUAAUAUUGCAGCUCAAUUCGUUUGUGCAUCCAAAUGUGCCCAUAGCAUGGAUGACCUGUCCCCAAAGUUAGGCCGGUCAGCUCAUACAGUACGUCACAUGUAUGAAAACAAUGGAUGGUUAAAAAGAACUUGCCAACACUGUGUUCAAUGUACAUCGCUAGCUGAGUGGACCAGCCUCUUUUUUUUGUCUGGUCAUCUGAAUAGUGAGGCCCAUGACGUGCUCAGGUAAAAGGUGCCUUUGCUAUUGCAUUGAUUCACCACUGGCCCUUCCAUCUGUGAUUGGUCAGAUCAGUUCCAUAACUUGCUCGCUCAGACUGGACUUUCAGUUGGCGCAAUUAAUUCACUGUCAUCAAAAGGAAAUGUUUGGAUUCUCAUUGCUAUUGAUUAUUGCACCAGACAGGUUGAAGCAAUUCCUGGAAGGAAAGCAUUUGACAUUGCCCAAUAAUAACCACAUUUUGGCCUUUGAUUGCGGAUAGAAAUAAAAA
Molecule: long non-coding RNA, 1561 nt
Organism: Magnolia sinica
Lineage: Eukaryota; Viridiplantae; Streptophyta; Magnoliopsida; Magnoliales; Magnoliaceae
Exons: 2
Source: RefSeq, a predicted model, not a curated record